AUGAACCCCCACCCUAUUAACAAUAAAAUCGAUGGGAUGAGGAGGUGGCACGAGGCAGACAGGGAAUUCGCCUUAGCCUUCGUGAGGAGGCUGAGGGCGGUCUUAGGCAGGGAGGGGGCGAUGGGCAACAACCCAAACUGGGCUGACCAGCAGCAGCCGGGGGAGGCGGAGACGGGGGAGUUGGAGGUAGAGGGCGAGGCUCUGGCCUUGGCUGCGGCCUCGGGCGGCCCCAGUGAGGCAGAUGAUCAGAGGGAGCGAGGGACUCCAGAAGCAGAAGCAGCACAGGCAGACGCAGUCGCAGCACUAGCAGGAGAAGCAGCAGUAGAGGUCCCCGAGGCUGAGGCUGAGGCAGAGGCCUUGGCCCACCGCAGCGCCCUGGAGGACGACCAGAUGGAGCUGGGGGACGAAGGCGACGCCAUGGAGGAAGAGGAGGCUGGUGAUGCUGCUGCUGCAGCAGCAGCAGCAGCAGCAGCAGCAGCGGCGAAGGCUGAAGCCGAGGAGCAGGAGGGCCCAGUGCCGCCACCCCAGCCCGGCCCCCCACCUGAGGAUCAGUCCGUGGAGCCCUCUGCUUUCGGCCUGGGGAGGAGAAUGCGCCUGGUGCUGCUAGGCAACCGCGGCCCCAAUUGAGCUCCCAAAGAGGAGGAAUCUGAGCCGCCACCCUGGAUAAUAUGUGAAGAAAAAAGACAGCAGAAAAUGUCUAACGAAGAUUGACUUCAUUCAAGUUCCUUCCUUCAAUGUUAUUUUGUUCCUUCUGUUUAAAGCAUAUUCAAAAAUCAAAUAAAAUUGAAAGCAAAGUUACUGAUCUGGUCUGU
Molecule: long non-coding RNA, 812 nt
Filed under: Monodelphis domestica (gray short-tailed opossum)
Lineage: Eukaryota; Metazoa; Chordata; Mammalia; Didelphimorphia; Didelphidae
Description: lncRNA (ENSMODG00000033864.2)
Source: RNAcentral